Molecule: ribosomal RNA, 429 nt
Filed under: Acidobacteriota bacterium
Lineage: Bacteria; Pseudomonadati; Acidobacteriota
Description: Acidobacteria bacterium partial 16S ribosomal RNA
Rfam family: Bacterial small subunit ribosomal RNA
Source: RNAcentral
UGGGGAAUUUUGGACAAUGGGGGAAACCCUGAUCCAGCCAUCCCGCGUGUGCGAUGAAGGCCUUCGGGUUGUAAAGCACUUUUGGCAGGAAAGAAACGUCAUGGGUUAAUACCCCGUGAAACUGACGGUACCUGCAGAAUAAGCACCGGUUAACUACGUGCCAGCAGCCGCGGUAAUACGUAGGGUGCAAGCGUUAAUCGGAAUUACUGGGCGUAAAGCGUGCGCAGGCGGUUCGGAAAGAAAGAUGUGAAAUCCCAGAGCUCAACUUUGGAACUGCAUUUUUAACUACCGGGCUAGAGUGUGUCAGAGGGAGGUGGAAUUCCGCGUGUAGCAGUGAAAUGCGUAGAUAUGCGGAGGAACACCGAUGGCGAAGGCAGCCUCCUGGGAUAACACUGACGCUCAUGCACGAAAGCGUGGGGAGCAAACAGG